RNAcentral lists this ribosomal RNA (484 nucleotides) under uncultured bacterium. RNAcentral's name for it is "partial 16S ribosomal RNA". It matches the Rfam family "Bacterial small subunit ribosomal RNA", at positions 30 to 507 of the family's 1533-position model. The record is from RNAcentral.
AUUGAACGCUGGCGGCAGGCCUAACACAUGCAAGUCGAGCGGAUGAAGGGAGCUUGCUCCUGGAUUCAGCGGCGGACGGGUGAGUAAUGCCUAGGAAUCUGCCUGGUAGUGGGGGAUAACGUCCGGAAACGGGCGCUAAUACCGCAUACGUCCUGAGGGAGAAAGUGGGGGAUCUUCGGACCUCACGCUAUCAGAUGAGCCUAGGUCGGAUUAGCUAGUUGGUGGGGUAAAGGCCUACCAAGGCGACGAUCCGUAACUGGUCUGAGAGGAUGAUCAGUCACACUGGAACUGAGACACGGUCCAGACUCCUACGGGAGGCAGCAGUGGGGAAUAUUGGACAAUGGGCGAAAGCCUGAUCCAGCCAUGCCGCGUGUGUGAAGAAGGUCUUCGGAUUGUAAAGCACUUUAAGUUGGGAGGAAGGGCAGUAAGAUAAUACCUUGCUGUGUUGACGUUACCAACAGAAUAAGCACCGGCUAACUUCGUG